UCCAAGUCGGGAGUGACAAUGGAGCUGAUUAUUGGGCUCCGGCAUCAUUCUAAGGUGGCGCCAGAGGCCCGGAUCUAAGUACGUACAGCACAAGAUCCUAGCUAGCUAGAGGAAGGAGAUGAUAUAACAUCAUGAGCAGUCACUCUGCUGAAAUUUUAAGGCUGAUUGCUCAUGAUGCUAUGCAUUGCCGCAAUUGUGUUUCUAAAUCAAUUUUUCUUUUUAAUUAUGUGUGUUAACUAGCCAGCUCCUUAAAUUCAAAUUCAUGUUGCAGCUUCAUGUCUUGAUAAUUC
This 290-nucleotide long non-coding RNA is filed under the name Daucus carota (carrot). RNAcentral describes it as "long non-coding RNA (DCAR_LNC002499)". The record is from RNAcentral. Lineage: Eukaryota; Viridiplantae; Streptophyta; Magnoliopsida; Apiales; Apiaceae.